RNAcentral lists this ribosomal RNA (464 nucleotides) under uncultured Klebsiella sp. Its description in RNAcentral is "bacterial SSU rRNA". It matches the Rfam family "Bacterial small subunit ribosomal RNA", at positions 338 to 795 of the family's 1533-position model. Lineage: Bacteria; Pseudomonadati; Pseudomonadota; Gammaproteobacteria; Enterobacterales; Enterobacteriaceae. The record is from RNAcentral.
CCUACGGGCGGCUGCAGUGGGGAAUAUUGCACAAUGGGCGCAAGCCUGAUGCAGCCAUGCCGCGUGUGUGAAGAAGGCCUUCGGGUUGUAAAGCACUUUCAGCGGGGAGGAAGGCGGUGAGGUUAAUAACCUCAUCGAUUGACGUUACCCGCAGAAGAAGCACCGGCUAACUCCGUGCCAGCAGCCGCGGUAAUACGGAGGGUGCAAGCGUUAAUCGGAAUUACUGGGCGUAAAGCGCACGCAGGCGGUCUGUCAAGUCGGAUGUGAAAUCCCCGGGCUCAACCUGGGAACUGCAUUCGAAACUGGCAGGCUAGAGUCUUGUAGAGGGGGGUAGAAUUCCAGGUGUAGCGGUGAAAUGCGUAGAGAUCUGGAGGAAUACCGGUGGCGAAGGCGGCCCCCUGGACAAAGACUGACGCUCAGGUGCGAAAGCGUGGGGAGCAAACAGGAUUAAUACCCCAGUAGUC